AUUGAACGCUGGCGGCAUGCCUUACACAUGCAAGUCGAACGGCAGCAUAGGAGCUUGCUCCUGAUGGCGAGUGGCAAACGGGUGAGUAAUAUAUCGGAACGUGCCCUAGAGUGGGGGAUAACUAGUCGAAAGACUAGCUAAUACCGCAUACGAUCUACGGAUGAAAGUGGGGGAUCGCAAGACCUCAUGCUCCUGGAGCGGCCGAUAUCUGAUUAGCUAGUUGGUGGGGUAAAAGCCUACCAAGGCAACGAUCAGUAGCUGGUCUGAGAGGACGACCAGCCACUCUGGGACUGAGACACCGCCCAGACUCCUACGGGAGGCAGCAGUGGGGAAUUUUGGACAAUGGGGGCAACCCUGAUCCAGCAAUGCCGCGUGAGUGAAGAAGGCCUUCGGGUUGUAAAGCUCUUUUGUCAGGGAAGAAACGGUAGUAGCGAAUAACUAUUACUAAUGACGGUACCUGAAGAAUAAGCACCGGCUAACUACGUGCCAGCCGCCGCAGUAA
Molecule: ribosomal RNA, 502 nt
Filed under: uncultured bacterium
Lineage: Bacteria
Description: partial 16S ribosomal RNA
Rfam family: Bacterial small subunit ribosomal RNA
Source: RNAcentral